AGGUUGGAAGGGAAACAUGAUGAAUGACUGGGUUGAAAAAUGGCUUGGUACACACUAUAACAAGCUGCUCACUCCUGGCUAUACAGGGCCUCUCAGGGUCCUCUUAGUCCUGCAUCAAGAACACUGUAGGGGCUGGGGUCGUGGCUCAGAGGUAGAGCAUUUGCCUAGCAUGCAUGAGGCACUGGGUUCAAUCCUCAGCACCACAUAAAAAUAAAAUAAAGAUUUUUUUUUUAAAAAAAGAACACUGUAGCUACUUGAGGGAUUGGAAUCCUUGGGUGAGUCAAUGUUCUGGGAGAGUUUAGCCUCUUUGUGUAUUGAGUAAAGAUCCUUAAAGGUAGUUAGGUAAGAUUUCAUCAGUAUUACAGUUACCAAGACAGGAUUUGAGGGUUUAGGGAUGGAGAGGAAAAUAGAAUUGAGAAAGAGAUGAACCCAACUCACUGCAAUAGGGUUCCCUUAGAGGUAAGUGAAAGUUAUUUAGGGGAAUGCAAAACUUGACCAAAAAGAGUGAAAUGGGGAUAAUAAUGUGCUUUACAUUUUUGUUUUUCCAAAUAUAUGGCUUAACAUAUCCAUCUGCAGAGAGGAGAAAUUAGGAACACUGCAAUUAGAGUGGGAAAAAAAGCACAUUAAUAACUUUCAAAAUUGAUUCCUUUUAUGAUAGCCUCUCUGGCUCAUUUGCAUAGCAAUGUGCUUUCUGGUGUGUGGAAGGGCAGAGUCUGAAUCUCAGCUGUGAAUUAUACAUACCCACAAUGAAUCUCUUCUUUAUCACACUGCUUGAUCUUGGCACAUUUCAGGGCAUCUGUCAGAAACACAAGUGACACCCACCAUGUGUGCUUUGUCAGGAAAAAAGAUUGAGAACAAUUACUUUAAACAAUGAGCCUGUAGUUUGGAUAAUAAACAAAUGGAGAGGUCUUGGGGACAGAUGUGCACUAACUAAACCUGGGCUUU
This 945-nucleotide long non-coding RNA is filed under the name Marmota monax (woodchuck). The stretch from base 137 to 203 matches the Rfam family "tRNA". Lineage: Eukaryota; Metazoa; Chordata; Mammalia; Rodentia; Sciuridae. The record is from RNAcentral.